AGCAGCCGCGGUAAUUCCAGCUCCAAUAGCGUAUAUUAAAGUUGUUGCAGUUAAAAAGCUCGUAGUUGAAUUUCGGGAUCAAAGAAUCGGUCAUGCCUUGGUAUGUACUGGUUUUAUUGGUUCUCACCUUCUAAAGAACCAUGAUGUCAUUCAUUUGAUGUUAUGGGGAAUUAGGACUGUUACCUUGAAAAAAUUAGAGUGUUUAAAGCAAGCUUACGCUUGAAUACAUUAGCAUGGAAUAAUGAAAUAGGACAUCAGAUUCUAUUUUGUUGGUUUCUAGGAUCGAUGUAAUGAUUAAUAGGGAUAGUUGGGGGCAUUAGUAUUCAAUUGUCAGAGGUGAAAUUCUUGGAUUUAUUGAAGACUAACUACUGCGAAAGCAUUUGCCAAGGAUGUUUUCAUUAAUCAAGAACGAAAGUUAGGGGAUCGAAGACGAUCAGAUACCGUCGUAGUCUUAACCAUAAACUAUGCCGACUAGGGAUCGGAUGAUGUUAAUUUUUUAAUGACUCA
This 507-nucleotide ribosomal RNA is filed under the name uncultured Glomus. RNAcentral describes it as "SSU rRNA". It matches the Rfam family "Eukaryotic small subunit ribosomal RNA", at positions 569 to 1078 of the family's 1831-position model. Lineage: Eukaryota; Fungi; Glomeromycota; Glomeromycetes; Glomerales; Glomeraceae. The record is from RNAcentral.